UACGAAGGGGGCUAGCGUUGCUCGGAUUGACUGGGCGUAAAGGGCGCGUAGGCGGCUUGCCAAGUCAGGGGUGAAAUCUUUCGGCUCAACCGGAAAAGUGCUUCUGAUACUGGCGGGCUGGAGGAGGGUAGGGGCAGAUGGAACUUCCGGUGGAGCGGUGAAAUGCGUAGAUAUCGGAAGGAACGCCGGUGGCGAAAGCGAUCUGCUGGACCCUUUCUGACGCUGAGGCGCGAAAGCCAGGGGAGCAAACGGG
Molecule: ribosomal RNA, 253 nt
Filed under: uncultured bacterium
Lineage: Bacteria
Description: partial 16S ribosomal RNA
Rfam family: Bacterial small subunit ribosomal RNA
Source: RNAcentral